GUGGGUAUAGCUCAAUGGCAGAGCACUUGCUUAGCAUGCACAAGAUCCUGGGUUCAAUCCCCAUUACCUCCA
Molecule: transfer RNA, 72 nt
Filed under: Camelus bactrianus (Bactrian camel)
Lineage: Eukaryota; Metazoa; Chordata; Mammalia; Artiodactyla; Camelidae
Also listed under: 2 other names
Rfam family: tRNA
About the family: Transfer RNA (tRNA) molecules are approximately 80 nucleotides in length. Their secondary structure includes four short double-helical elements and three loops (D, anti-codon, and T loops).
Source: Rfam by way of RNAcentral